GUGCUUGCUUCAGCAGCACAUAUACUAACAUUGGAAUGAUACAGAGAAGAUUUGCAUGACCCCUGGACAAGGAUGACAUGCAAAUUAAUGAAGCAUUCCAUGUUUUC
RNAcentral lists this small nuclear RNA (107 nucleotides) under Rhinolophus ferrumequinum (greater horseshoe bat). Lineage: Eukaryota; Metazoa; Chordata; Mammalia; Chiroptera; Rhinolophidae. The record is from RNAcentral.